RNAcentral lists this ribosomal RNA (580 nucleotides) under Sus scrofa (pig). Its description in RNAcentral is "partial 16S ribosomal RNA". The stretch from base 334 to 580 matches the Rfam family "Archaeal large subunit ribosomal RNA", at positions 1787 to 2137 of the family's 2987-position model. Lineage: Eukaryota; Metazoa; Chordata; Mammalia; Artiodactyla; Suidae. The record is from RNAcentral.
UUUUUAGAAACGGAUACAACCUUGACUAGAGAGUAAAAUCUUAAUACUACCAUAGUAGGCCUAAAAGCAGCCAUCAAUUGAGAAAGCGUUAAAGCUCAACAAAUUCACCAACAUAAUCCCAAAAACUAAUAACAAACUCCUAGCCCAAUACCGGACUAAUCUAUUGAAACAUAGAAGCAAUAAUGUUAAUAUGAGUAACAAGAAGCCUUUCUCCUCGCACACGCUUACAUCAGUAACUAAUAAUAUACUGAUAAUUAACAAUCAAUAAACCAAAACAACACUAAAGCGUUUAUUAACUAUAUUGUUAACCCAACACAGGAGUGCACCAAGGAAAGAUUAAAAGAAGUAAAAGGAACUCGGCAAACACAAACCCCGCCUGUUUACCAAAAACAUCACCUCUAGCAUUACUAGUAUUAGAGGCAAUGCCUGCCCAGUGACACCAGUUUAACGGCCGCGGUAUUCUGACCGUGCAAAGGUAGCAUAAUCACUUGUUCUCCAAAUAAGGACUUGUAUGAAUGGCCACACGAGGGUUUUACUGUCUCUUACUUCCAAUCAGUGAAAUUGACCUUCCCGUGAAGAG